This is a long non-coding RNA of Schistocerca serialis cubense, 5880 nucleotides long. RefSeq lists it as uncharacterized. The record is from RefSeq and is a predicted model, not a curated record. The transcript has 3 exons. Lineage: Eukaryota; Metazoa; Arthropoda; Insecta; Orthoptera; Acrididae.
UCCUUCCUCAGUUCGUACCCUCCAGCUGUUCCCGCGACAGCAGUCAUUGCAAGCCUUCUUCCUCACAUCGUACUUUCCUGCUGUUCCCACCGACAGCAGUCACCGCAAACCUCCUUCCUCACACCGUAUCCUCUUAUUGUUCCCGCCGACAGCAGGCAUUGCAAACCACUCCUCACAUCAUACGCUGAGGUGUUCCCGCCGACAGCUCUCGCACGGCACUCACCAAAUUCCUUCUCCCAAGUAUCACAGAAAGCCACCACACACACCCAUGUAGCGUAAGCCCUUGCCAGAUUAUUCGCACACCACCACCACCACAGCUGUUCGUGCAGGCGAGCUGACAAGGUCGGCUCAGCUUUGACCGUGAUGACUCCUCGGACCAGACAACGCCUCGUAUCUAACGGACAUAAGAGCUAUAGCUGACACAUCUCCAGCUUCUUACAUCGUGCCCUGCUCGAAGCCCUCAUAAUGGAAAUUAAUGCCUCAAUCGCCAACAUCCACCACGCCACAGGGGGGAGGCUGGAGAGGUGACGCUGAGCUACAGGGCGUGUGGCGGCGGUGGUGGCAGCGACGUAGCAGCCGGCAGCCAGCAGCCACAGGAGCCGCCGCUGCACGCCGUCCUCAUUCGUUGUUUUGUCCCAGAGCUGUACAUACAAUCUGACACUCACAACGGCAACAACUCUAGUGUUAAAUAAAUACCUCUUACCUGCCAUAAGUAAGCUUAUUCACGUAGACUAAACUUGCGUUCUUGCUGUCAACACUGCUGUGUGCUUUAUUGGAAUUUUUUAUCAAUGUUGUUGGUGGUGUUAAUUGGUGUUUUUUCAAUGUCCAUGUGCAUUUCGUGUAAAUAUUGUUUACUUAAAUCAGUGUAAUGAAGAAACAAAUGACGGUAACGAAUUUGCUCAACGAGCGGCUCUCCGACUCAGUGCGCCGUCGACGAUUCCUCUACCGAAGACUCGAGGGGCGGCAUUCAGCUCGUCGUGACAUCCGGAGUCCCUGUUUCUGUGUGCCGGCAGAACUACACCCCUCUUCGGCCUCUCUCUUUCUCUUUUUAGUGAGCGCUAAUUAGCAGUUAAUGACAAUGACUUUCUCCAAUUUCUCACAUAACAAUUUCGCUAAAUAGUUUAGUACCACUGAUAACCUUACAGAGUCAUAAAUGCUACCCACACGUCCUCACUUUUCCUCUACUCUAUGCUAUGGCUUUUUGUUGACUGCUUGAUUUCGCCCUCUUUUUCUGCUGUCGCAUUUCAGAGCUUCGCUUACGAGGUGUGCCGGCCACACCCCAUUUCCGGCCAAAGCGAGACGUUGUGAACACCAACAGGAUUACCUUGCUAUAAAGUUCAUUACAUCCUUUCUGUCCAUCAGUUGGGCUCAUAUGUAUCAGUAUUAAAGCGUCAGAUAUGUUGAAACACCUUUGAUAACAACACAGGCUGUGUCAGUGCUAUCGUUACCAAAGUUAGUUUUUAAGAUUAGUGAUAAGUCUAUUCUCAGGCAUUUUAAUGUAAUAUUCGGCCAUGUGAUUGUCAUCGGUUUAUUUGUAGUUAGGUUAUGGUGUUAGGAAUAGUCCAAAAAUUAAAUAUUUAUCCUCCAAAUGAGCAGCAUUCACAAUUAGAGGUGCCUACUCCUACGGAACUCUGUCGCGUCGUUUCACCCAUCGUCACUCAUCUCCUCUCCGAUUCAUCACCACGCUUUUCUUUUUUUUCCGUGGGUAGUCACGAGCGGCGCUGUUCGCCAGCUGGUGAACGUUGUGUGCGCUCUGCCUAUUGUUCUGCCCGCAGUAGUCAAGUAGUCACCAGUGUCAUUAUCAUUCAGCGAGUCAAAUAAGUUAUGUCCUUCUCCCUUCUCUUAUCAUAUGUACAUCUCGUUCCCGAUCCUUCACGAAGUCUUCCAUUUCGUAAUAGCUGCGGCACGUGCUGCUCGUGACAUGAAGACUGUUCUGUGACUGUAUCUCUAUAACCAACUGUACCACGCAACUGCAACAUUUCAUCCACCUCAGUCUUUAGACAGCCACGACAGCAGCAGUUGUUCCCAAUUGUAAAUAGUUUCCCGUUCCACAUCCAUAGUAGCUGACAAUUCUGCCCUUCAGAUCUCGCGUUGACCGAGUUGUCACUUAUUGUGGAAUUUCAGAGAAUUUUAUUUAUAUGAGGCGAAAUCAGUUUGUGUGUCUUAUUGAUGUAAAAAACGAUGUUAGUGGCACUCCAGAAUGUCGCUUUUGCCUGAGUUUCUUACACGGUUUGCAAUCUUUUCACGCUGAAUAAUGAGCUCUUUCAGUUCUUACACAUUUUUAGGAUAUUAUGUAGCUGAGGUUACUUGAGCAGCUUAGUGACGAAAUCCAUAAUUUUAUUUAUGCAUUCCUAGUGCUUGUGCAGUAAGUGUAGAGUAAAAGAAGUUUUCGGGUAAGAAAUCCACCUUCAGUCAUAAAACAGGCCCAUAAGUAUGACUGAAGGUGGCUAUCUCACACCAAAACUUCUUUUUGUAAAAACCCAUGUUCGUUUUCCCCAAAAAUAGGUUGACUUUGAUACUGCCAUAAUAUUUUUAAUGCUCCAAACGAUUGAUGAUGUUUAAUUAUAGUGUUCAUUUUUCCUUUUGUCGAUUCCCUUGUUUGAGUACUAAAACUUAAAUCCAACCAUAAGAAACUGAAUUAUGCGUUCCACUAUCGCGACCUCUUCAUAAACCGACUGCCAAAUUAUACGUUAUGGCUUGUUUUCAUAUGUCUUCCACAACCACGAAGUUUUCAGACUUCCAUGCUGAUACUUAGGCGACUGUUGCUUUGUGUAAUCUCUUACACUUACAGCGCCUGUGUUCAUGCGUCGAGUGCUUACAGAUCCAGGGCAUUAAAGUACAAAUCACUGGACUUCGUCUCUUGCGUUCAUAGUAAUCAACCAUAGUCUCAAUUUCAGUUCAAAAUUCCCUGUUGUUGGAUCUUUGGCCGCAAGGCUUCAUUUUACUUGGGUUGGGCAAGCACUGUCCGCUUCUUUCAUCUACAGCAAAAUUUUAUUUCCUACAUAUCCUCUGUUCGCAUUUCAUUAAAUGUCUGUUUAUGUUGUACAUGUUUUAUAUAAAAUAACAGAUGUUUAUUUUGACGGCAGUAAGUCAUGCUUCACUUAAUAUAGUAUUUGCCCUUAGUUAGGAAUAGCUGUAAAUCUAAAUGCGACAGCUGGAAAUUCACACAGAACUCAAAUGCCGUUCUUACGUCCACUGACCACCCUGACAUCGCACGCGGUGACUCCGGUAUUGUGCUUAUGCACAGUUUAAUUUUACGCACACACCAUCUGUUUGUGAUAAGCUAUAAGUCAUUUCUUCCUUCCCUUGCCCACUGUAGAAAAGGUGUAUUGCUAGUUCGUAACGAGACUUGCGAUGAUUGCAUUGCGUUAUUUUUUGACUGACAGGGUAACAAAACCUUAGCUGCAAGCUUCAAGCCUGUUAAUCGCCAGUGACAAUGAGUGACAAUGUGUUUUUUUUUAAUGUCUCCUUUCAAAUCUGCUUUGAAAACGGUGCUCGUUAUAUUUAAAUGUUGUUUGUGUUUUUAUUAUCUAGAGGUAUGAAAUCUAAAUUUCCGAAAUAUAAACGGCACACCUUUAUGUAUAACUGACUUUCAUUUAUUGUAAUGUUGUUUUGAACAUGAAUAGUAAGAAAAUUUCCAAAAUUUGGUUCUUAAAACUAAUUACUUUUUGACACUCAGUAGGAGAUUGUUUCACAAACUGACAAGGGAUUACGUUUUUCUUGAUUAAUAAUUUGAUUAAUUUUUCAUCUCAUGCAAGAAGAUGGGUGCAGAUUUUAAUUGCAAGUAGUUCAAGUGAUAGUUCCUUAUUACUGUGGCAGAGACGGUUAAGUAUGAGGAAAAGCUGUCACUGUCUUGUGUGACACUUAUUUUAACAUUAAUCAGAUCUAAUUAGUUGCAUAUAUAUCUUUUUACUGCUUACUACAUAGUUGAAUAGCUCUUUGAAUUCUAAUUCGCAGUUAGAGAACAUUUUUUGUCGUUGUUGCUAGUAGAAUGGUAGAAUCUCAUUGCUUUACAGUAACACAUGGUGAGACUGUUAUGUUUAUCUCUCGAGUACAUUAGUAUAAAUUGACAUAGCUGUAUGUCUGGUCACAAAUAAAGUUACUUACUUUGUCAUUAAUUUGUGUUUGAUGUAGUAAAUAAUGUUUAAAGCACUAAACCUUGUUAAAUCCAAAACAAUCUCCUGCCACUACCCUUUGUUAAGGAGAAUACGUAUAUCUAAACAAUUAUCUGGAGGCCAUUUAUUAUUUAGUGAUGUAAUAUAUGUGUAAAAACUAUGAACCGAAAAUUACGACGAUUUUGUAAAUAGCAUGAAAAAUAUUGAUGAAAAAUAGUGAGUAAUGAACGAUCGGUAUUUAGUUUAUAGGAACAGAAAACAGAUAGCUACAGUCUUCUACUUGAAAAUAGUUAAGGUGGUAUUCUUGGGACAAUUACUAACGAAAUUAUUUUGAUAAAAAUUUAAGGAGACAAAGCAGUAACUUUUCCGUGAGAGCAAAGUUGAAGUUUAAGGUGUUUUUCCUAGUAUGGUAGUUAUUCAUCAUUUUAAACUGAACCUGAUUUAAACUAACAUUUAGUUUCCUUAGAUUGAAUAACUGAAUCUUAUGUGUAUCAUGUUUCAUCAUACUUGGAGUUCAGUUUGUUAUACUAAUAUUAAUCAAUCAAAAUUUUAGUUGGCUUAAUACAAUAUGAGUUUAUGCAACAUCCCAUUGGACCUAAUAGAGAUAUGCUUGUAGUGAAAAACUUAGUUUGUAAUUAACUUAGUGAGAAAUCUAUUUUAUUUAUAUUCACAUUUUCUAUUUUAAAAAUUAUUUAAAUUGAUUCAGUACAUAACUGCAUAAAUUGCCAUCUGUUCCUUUGUGAAAACAUGAUUUCACUGAGCAAGUCUACGUUGUUUAAAUAGUUGUUAGAUUUGUCUACUGUGAUAUUAUGUACUUACUAUCCUGUUUAUCUGUGCAUAUGUGGUUACAGUUAUUACAGAUGUGUUCUUUGUUAUAUGUGGCAAAAUAACUGUACUUGUAAUUGAUAAUCUUUCUCUUAAUAUUAUUUCUGUACAUUUAUUUUAUUGUUUAUGCCAGAGUUUAGAUAUAUUUUGAAAACAAAUGUGGUUACAGUAUAUAUAUUUGCUCUCUGUAGUAUGUACCAAAAAUAAUUGUGUAGUUAUUAGGCAAGAAAUAUUGGGAAAAACGUUAUGGUUUGUGUUAUUUUGUCAUGUGUAACAUGAACAAAAAACUAUGUAGUUAUUAGGCCAGAUAUAUUGGAAAAAUAUUGUGGUUACAUUUAUUUUGCCCUUUGUAGUAGGUAUCAAAAUAACAGUUCUUUUAACGGAUAAGCUUUCCUUUCACAUUCCACGUUCUUCCUGUAUAUUUGUUUGUGCCUGAUUUUAUAUAUAUAUAUAUAUAUAUAUAUAUAUAUAUAUAUAUAUAUAUAUAUAUAUAUAUGUGUGUGUGUGUGUGUGUGAAAUAUGUAAUUGUCUCUAUCAUUAUUGUGUAGUUAUUGGGCAAGAAAUAUUGGAAAAAUUGGGUGGUUACAGUCACUAUAUUUGUUCUCCAUAAAAGAUACCAAAAUAACUGUGUCGCUAUUGGACAAGAAACAUUUGAAAAAGUAUGUGGUUAUAGUCAAUAUAUUUCUUCUCGGUAGAAUGUAGCCUAAUAAUUAUGUAGUUAUUGCGCAACAAAUGUUGGAAAAAACAUCGUGGUUAAAGCUGUUUUGCUCUACUCUCUGUGGUAUUUACCACAAUAACUGUACUCUUAAUAGGUAAUCUGUCCUUUGGCUUUCAUCCCAUAACUUUGUUUAAUUGAUUGUACCUGAGUUCAUGUGUGUGUGUGUGUGUGUGUGUGUGUGUGUGUGUGUGUGUGUGUGUGUGUGUGUGUGUGUAUGUGUGU